GACGAACGCUGGCGGCGUGCCUAAUACAUGCAAGUAGAACGCACAGUUUAUACCGUAGCUUGCUACACCAUAAACUGUGAGUUGCGAACGGGUGAGUAACGCGUAGGUAACCUGCCUGGUAGCGGGGGAUAACUAUUGGAAACGAUAGCUAAUACCGCAUAAUAUUAAUUAUUGCAUGCUAAUUGAUUGAAAGAUGCCAUUGCAUCACUACCAGAUGGACCUGCGUUGUAUUAGCUAGUAGGUGAGGUAACGGCUCACCUAGGCGACGAUACAUAGCCGACCUGAGAGGGUGAUCGGCCACACUGGGACUGAGACACGGCCCAAGCUCCUACGGGAGGCAGCAGUAGGGAAUCUUCGGAAAUAGACGGAAGGCUGACCGAGCAACGCCGCGGGAGUGAAGAAGGGUGUCGGAUCGUAAAGCUCUGUUGUAAGAGAAGAAAGGGUGUGAGAGUGGAAAGUUCACACUGUGACGGUAUCUUAACAGAAAGGGACGGCUAACUACGUG
This 505-nucleotide ribosomal RNA is filed under the name uncultured bacterium. RNAcentral's name for it is "partial 16S ribosomal RNA". It matches the Rfam family "Bacterial small subunit ribosomal RNA", at positions 28 to 507 of the family's 1533-position model. The record is from RNAcentral.